ACAAUUCACUAUGAUGUUUUUACAUAUGUUAGACUAAUGAAAUAAUUUGAUUGAAAAUUAAUAACUGAGUUUAU
This is a small nucleolar RNA of Drosophila innubila, 74 nucleotides long. RefSeq annotates it as small nucleolar RNA Me28S-Cm788. NCBI's taxonomy places the organism in Eukaryota, Metazoa, Arthropoda, Insecta, Diptera, Drosophilidae. The record is from RefSeq and is a predicted model, not a curated record. The transcript has a single exon.